AGCAAAAAUACCCGUAUAAACGGUGCUAAAUGUAUUGAAAAAGUUUAUAAACUAUAUUACGAUUGUCAAUUAAUACAAAAAAAUACUGGAAGAAAGAAACAUGAAGUAAAAGAAUCGACUUUCGAAAGUGACAUUAAUUUGAUGUUUGACAUUGCUGCUUCUCAAACAUGUUUAGAAGAAAUUGAUGGAGCAACGUUAACGUUUUUGGAGAGACAAAGAUAUUCAGUGAAAAUUGAUUUCAUUAGCGAUGUUCAAACAAAGUAUGACGAAUAUAUAACUGAUAAUUGCUCCUGUGAUUUAUUGGGAUGGAAAAUUGCUAAAAAAAGUUUUUGAAGCUAAGAAUGUAUACCGUCCGGCCAGAAUUGUAUCUGAAGGUUCUUUCUGAUUGGGGGCAUGUCAAUGAAAUCAAAGCUGUUUGUUGUGAUACAACAAAUGCUAAUCUUUGGUCAAAGAAUGAUCAUCAGCAAAAAGUAAAAAAGAACAGAAUUUAAAUGCGGAAUUUAUGUCAUUAAUGAAUAAAAGAAAUAAUAAGGGACCCAUGAGAGAUCCCUGGGGGACAUCAGAAGUUGCCGUAAACAUCUUAGAGUAAACACCAUCCACUCGGACACAUAGGCAAUUGUCAAUUAAGUAACUACGAAACCAAGAAAUAAUUUUAGGGCCUAUGCCUAGUAAUUUUAACUUUUUAAGAAGAAUUUCGUGAUUAAUUUUAUCGAAAGCCUUAGAAAAGUCCGCGUAAACGGCGUCAACCUGAUGGCCUCGCUCGACCUCAGAUACCAAAUUCUCAUAAAAGAUACAGAUCGAUAAAGUUCAUCAUAAAUAAUGCUCUCAAAAAUAUUCGGAAUUGUGCUGAGAAAGGAACAACUAUUCCUAUUUUCCACUGUUUUGGGAAAAUCCAUUCCCGCACGGACCUAGUAAAAACUAUAUAUAUAAGGGUUCGAGUAGAGAAGAAUAGCACGACCCAAUCAAAGCAAGAGGGAUACCAUCAGGACCAGCACCAACAUUCACAUUGCAAGAUAAUAUUUUUUUAGCAAUGUUACUUUUAUUAAUAUCAAAACAAUUAAGAUUAACGGAAUCGUGUACUUUAAACGGAGUAGUAACAACAAUAUUAUCAUAAGAGAUUUGCAUUGAGUUCGUAAUGUAGAAAAUAACUGGUAGUUUGAGAA
This is a long non-coding RNA of Leptopilina heterotoma, 1163 nucleotides long. RefSeq lists it as uncharacterized. Lineage: Eukaryota; Metazoa; Arthropoda; Insecta; Hymenoptera; Figitidae. The transcript is spliced from 4 exons. The record is from RefSeq and is a predicted model, not a curated record.